Molecule: ribosomal RNA, 654 nt
Filed under: uncultured archaeon
Lineage: Archaea
Description: bacterial SSU rRNA
Rfam family: Archaeal small subunit ribosomal RNA
Source: RNAcentral
GCCUAAAGCGUCCGUAGCCUGUUCUAUAAGUUUCCGGUUAAAUCCAUUAGCUCAACUAAUGGGCCGCCGAAAAUACUGUGGAACUAGGGAGUGGGAGAGGUAGACGGUAUUCGGUAGGAAGGGGUAAAAUCCUUUGAUCUAUCGAGGACCACCUGUGGCGAAGGCGGUCUACCAGAACACGUUCAACGGUGAGGGAUGAAAGCUGGGGGAGCAAACCGGAUUAGAUACCCGGGUAGUCCCAGCUGUAAACGAUGCAGACUCGGUGAUGCGCUGGCUUGUGGCCAGUGCAGUGCCGCAGGGAAGCCGUUAAGUUUGCCGCCUGGGAAGUACGUACGCAAGUAUGAAACUUAAAGGAAUUGGCGGGGGAGCACCACAAGGGGUGAAGCCUGCGGUUCAAUUGGAGUCAACGCCAGAAAUCUUACCCGAAGAGACAGCAGAAUGAAGGUCAAGCUGGAGACUUUACCAGACAAGCUGAGAAGUGGUGCAUGGCCGUCGCCAGCUCGUGCCGUGAGAUGUCCUGUUAAGUCAGGUAACGAGCGAGAUCCCUGCCUCUAGUUGCCACCAUUACUCUCAGGAGUAGUGGGGCGAAUUAGCGGGACCGCCGCAGUUAAUGCGGAGGAAGGAAGGGGCCACGGCAGGUCAGUAUGCCCCGAA